UAAGGUUCAAGCAUGAAACCUUUCCACUGAUUUGCUGUCAUGUUCUUCCCAACUCUGCUUAAGCCUGAUUUAAGAUGUCUACAUACAGUGUUUGCUUAUCUCUCUAUGAAUUGUGCCUGCUCUUCUUGACUCACGAAAAUACUGCAAAAGAAACUUGCUUUGUCUGCCCUGACUCAGGAGAAAUGCAAGUGGCCACGGAUUUGCUCUGGAGGACUAAGUUGAUAGUAUAAACCUGUGGUUCUCAUAAGUAUCCCCAGGCUGCACUAUCAGCAUCACAUGGAAACAUCUCUCAAAAAGGCAUGUCAGAAACUGUGAGGACAGAACCCAGGAGUCUGCUUCAUAAAGCCUUUCAGGUGAUUCAGAUUUUAGCUGCCAGAGUGAGAUCUUGUAUGAGAGCGGGUAACGGAGGCAUUGUGGGAAAGAAGUAUUCAUUAGGAGACAUUCAGUUCAUCAGAAAGCCUUUGGUUAAAUUCUGCAUAAUUGGUUCCUGCUUAAGAUAGACCCUGCAAGAAUCCAGGAGGAGACGUGGGAGUAGAUAAAGAAUGAGUGGAAGAAACAAAAAACAGACACUCCUGGAGAGAAGGAAAGAAAAAAAAAAGGAGUGAAGGAGAGGAAGAAAAGGAGAGAGAACAGGAAUGUUGCUUUAUUCUAAAAAUGGGUAUUCAUAAUGGCAGAUCAAUA
Long non-coding RNA from Callithrix jacchus (white-tufted-ear marmoset), 681 nucleotides. RefSeq lists it as uncharacterized. The record is from RefSeq and is a predicted model, not a curated record. Lineage: Eukaryota; Metazoa; Chordata; Mammalia; Primates; Cebidae.